Molecule: ribosomal RNA, 228 nt
Filed under: Acinetobacter baumannii
Lineage: Bacteria; Pseudomonadati; Pseudomonadota; Gammaproteobacteria; Moraxellales; Moraxellaceae
Description: partial 23S ribosomal RNA
Rfam family: Bacterial large subunit ribosomal RNA
Source: RNAcentral
GAUGAAGGACGUGCUAAUCUGCGAAAAGCGUCGGUAAGGUGAUAUGAACCGUUAUAACCGGCGAUGUCCGAAUGGGGAAACCCAGUGCAAUUCGUUGCACUAUCGUUAACUGAAUACAUAGGUUAACGAGGCGAACCGGGGGAACUGAAACAUCUAAGUACCCCGAGGAAAAGAAAUCAACCGAGAUUCCCCCAGUAGCGGCGAGCGAACGGGGAGCAGCCCAGAGUC